Molecule: non-coding RNA, 245 nt
Filed under: Bacillota bacterium
Lineage: Bacteria; Bacillati; Bacillota
Source: RNAcentral
CAUGGGAUAGGAUAUAAUAUUUCCCGAUAGAUACGGACAGAGGCAAUGCGCUGCAAAGGCCCGUGGGGUCAGGCGCAAAGCUGAACAAGAGAACGGGGACGAGCCCCACGUUGACCAACACCGUGUGCAUCGAGGUGUCUAUCCCGCCGACGAAAGUCAGCCAUUGGAAGCGUGCUUCUGAGAAGGCAGGGGAGAUCGCCGCUUGAGAUGCGAGCCGGGAGACCUACUGUUGCCGUUAGAAUGAU